This 403-nucleotide ribosomal RNA is filed under the name uncultured bacterium. RNAcentral describes it as "bacterial SSU rRNA". It matches the Rfam family "Bacterial small subunit ribosomal RNA", at positions 355 to 775 of the family's 1533-position model. The record is from RNAcentral.
UAGGGAAUAUUAGAAAUGGACGAAAGUCUGAUCUAGCAACACCGCGUGUGCGAAGAAGGCCUUCGGGUCGUAAAGCACUUUUUGGAAGGAAUAGGAAGGAAUGUACUUCCAGAAUAAGUCUCGGCUAACUACGUGCCAGCAGCCGCGGUAACACGUAGGAGGCGAACGUUAUCCGGAUUUACUGGGCGUAAAGCGCGUGUAGGUGGUACUGUAAGUAGGGCGUGAAAGCCCCUGGCUCAACUGGGAGAGGCCGUUCUAAACUACAGAACUAGAGGAUGGUAGAGGGGGGUGGAAUUCCAGGUGUAGCGGUGGAAUGCGCAGAUAUCUGGAGGAACACCGGUGGCGAAGGCGGCCUCCUGGACCAUUCCUGACACUCAGACGCGAAAGCUAGGGUAGCAAACGG